This 3006-nucleotide ribosomal RNA is filed under the name Salmonella enterica. Its description in RNAcentral is "23S ribosomal RNA". It matches the Rfam family "Bacterial large subunit ribosomal RNA". Lineage: Bacteria; Pseudomonadati; Pseudomonadota; Gammaproteobacteria; Enterobacterales; Enterobacteriaceae. The record is from RNAcentral.
GGUUAAGCGACUAAGCGUACACGGUGGAUGCCCUGGCAGUCAGAGGCGAUGAAGGGCGUGCUAAUCUGCGAUAAGCGCCGGUAAGGUGAUAUGAACCGUUAUAACCGGCGAUACCCGAAUGGGGAAACCCAGUGUGACUCGUCACACUAUCAUUAACUGAAUCCAUAGGUUAAUGAGGCGAACCGGGGGAACUGAAACAUCUAAGUACCCCGAGGAAAAGAAAUCAACCGAGAUUCCCCCAGUAGCGGCGAGCGAACGGGGAGGAGCCCAGAGCCUGAAUCAGCAUGUGUGUUAGUGGAAGCGUCUGGAAAGGCGCGCGAUACAGGGUGACAGCCCCGUACACAAAAGCGCAUGUGCUGUGAGCUCGAUGAGUAGGGCGGGACACGUGGUAUCCUGUCUGAAUAUGGGGGACCAUCCUCCAAGGCUAAAUACUCCUGACUGACCGAUAGUGAACCAGUACCGUGAGGGAAAGGCGAAAAGAACCCCGGCGAGGGGAGUGAAAAAGAACCUGAAACCGUGUACGUACAAGCAGUGGGAGCCCCACCACCAAAGCAUUCUCUGGUGUUGAAGGCCCUGCAAAGCAGCAUCGCGGUGGCGGAGCGUCGUUUGCGACGCCCAACACACAAAACAAGCGGUGAGUGCUUUGGGGUGGGGUGACUGCGUACCUUUUGUAUAAUGGGUCAGCGACUUAUAUUCUGUAGCAAGGUUAACCGAAUAGGGGAGCCGUAGGGAAACCGAGUCUUAACCGGGCGUUAAGUUGCAGGGUAUAGACCCGAAACCCGGUGAUCUAGCCAUGGGCAGGUUGAAGGUUGGGUAACACUAACUGGAGGACCGAACCGACUAAUGUUGAAAAAUUAGCGGAUGACCUGUGGCUGGGGGUGAAAGGCCAAUCAAACCGGGAGAUAGCUGGUUCUCCCCGAAAGCUAUUUAGGUAGCGCCUCGUGAAUUCAUCUCCGGGGGUAGAGCACUGUUUCGGCUAGGGGGCCAUCCCGGCUUACCAACCCGAUGCAAACUGCGAAUACCGGAGAAUGUUAUCACGGGAGACACACGGCGGGUGCUAACGUCCGUCGUGAAGAGGGAAACAACCCAGACCGCCAGCUAAGGUCCCAAAGUCAUGGUUAAGUGGGAAACGAUGUGGGAAGGCCCAGACAGCCAGGAUGUUGGCUUAGAAGCAGCCAUCAUUUAAAGAAAGCGUAAUAGCUCACUGGUCGAGUCGGCCUGCGCGGAAGAUGUAACGGGGCUAAACCAUGCACCGAAGCUGCGGCAGCGACGCUGAUGCGUUGUUGGGUAGGGGAGCGUUCUGUAAGCCUGUGAAGGUGGCCUGUGAGGGUUGCUGGAGGUAUCAGAAGUGCGAAUGCUGACAUAAGUAACGAUAAAGCGGGUGAAAAGCCCGCUCGCCGGAAGACCAAGGGUUCCUGUCCAACGUUAAUCGGGGCAGGGUGAGUCGACCCCUAAGGCGAGGCCGAAAGGCGUAGUCGAUGGGAAACGGGUUAAUAUUCCCGUACUUGGUGUUACUGCGAAGGGGGACGGAGAAGGCUAUGUUGGCCGGGCGACGGUUGUCCCGGUUUAAGCGUGUAGGUGUGUGUUCCAGGUAAAUCCGGUUCACUUUAACACUGAGGCGUGAUGACGAGGCACUACGGUGCUGAAGCAACAAAUGCCCUGCUUCCAGGAAAAGCCUCUAAGCAUCAGGUAACAUCAAAUCGUACCCCAAACCGACACAGGUGGUCAGGUAGAGAAUACCAAGGCGCUUGAGAGAACUCGGGUGAAGGAACUAGGCAAAAUGGUGCCGUAACUUCGGGAGAAGGCACGCUGACACGUAGGUGAAGUGAUUUACUCAUGGAGCUGAAGUCAGUCGAAGAUACCAGCUGGCUGCAACUGUUUAUUAAAAACACAGCACUGUGCAAACACGAAAGUGGACGUAUACGGUGUGACGCCUGCCCGGUGCCGGAAGGUUAAUUGAUGGGGUCAGCGCAAGCGAAGCUCCUGAUCGAAGCCCCGGUAAACGGCGGCCGUAACUAUAACGGUCCUAAGGUAGCGAAAUUCCUUGUCGGGUAAGUUCCGACCUGCACGAAUGGCGUAAUGAUGGCCAGGCUGUCUCCACCCGAGACUCAGUGAAAUUGAACUCGCUGUGAAGAUGCAGUGUACCCGCGGCAAGACGGAAAGACCCCGUGAACCUUUACUAUAGCUUGACACUGAACAUUGAGCCUUGAUGUGUAGGAUAGGUGGGAGGCUUUGAAGCGUGGACGCCAGUCUGCAUGGAGCCGGCCUUGAAAUACCACCCUUUAAUGUUUGAUGUUCUAACGUGGACCCGUGAUCCGGGUUGCGGACAGUGUCUGGUGGGUAGUUUGACUGGGGCGGUCUCCUCCUAAAGAGUAACGGAGGAGCACGAAGGUUGGCUAAUCCUGGUCGGACAUCAGGAGGUUAGUGCAAUGGCAUAAGCCAGCUUGACUGCGAGCGUGACGGCGCGAGCAGGUGCGAAAGCAGGUCAUAGUGAUCCGGUGGUUCUGAAUGGAAGGGCCAUCGCUCAACGGAUAAAAGGUACUCCGGGGAUAACAGGCUGAUACCGCCCAAGAGUUCAUAUCGACGGCGGUGUUUGGCACCUCGAUGUCGGCUCAUCACAUCCUGGGGCUGAAGUAGGUCCCAAGGGUAUGGCUGUUCGCCAUUUAAAGUGGUACGCGAGCUGGGUUUAGAACGUCGUGAGACAGUUCGGUCCCUAUCUGCCGUGGGCGCUGGAGAACUGAGGGGGGCUGCUCCUAGUACGAGAGGACCGGAGUGGACGCAUCACUGGUGUUCGGGUUGUCAUGCCAAUGGCACUGCCCGGUAGCUAAAUGCGGAAGAGAUAAGUGCUGAAAGCAUCUAAGCACGAAACUUGCCCCGAGAUGAGUUCUCCCUGAGACUUAGAGUCUCCUGAAGGAACGUUGAAGACGACGACGUUGAUAGGCCGGGUGUGUAAGCGCAGCGAUGCGUUGAGCUAACCGGUACUAAUGAACCGUGAGGCUUAACCUU